Molecule: long non-coding RNA, 201 nt
Filed under: Pelobates cultripes (western spadefoot toad)
Lineage: Eukaryota; Metazoa; Chordata; Amphibia; Anura; Pelobatidae
Source: RNAcentral
CCCUACUACAUAAAACAUGUACAUGCAACAUAUCCCCAGAUAGCUUAGAUCUGAGCGCACAUUAUUACCGAAUGGUGCUCAGAUCACAUACAUAUAGUUCAAUCGCCAUGGAGCCAAAGUCUUUUUCAUAGUCUUUCCUUACCCGAAUAGGCUCCAUGGCAUAGCUAUCUGGGGUAGCACUACUCACAUACUGAAAGUCCC